Molecule: unclassified non-coding RNA, 253 nt
Filed under: uncultured delta proteobacterium
Lineage: Bacteria; Deltaproteobacteria
Description: contains 16S-23S intergenic spacer region
Rfam family: Bacterial small subunit ribosomal RNA
Source: RNAcentral
AACGUAGGGUGCAAGCGUUGUUCGGAAUUACUGGGCGUAAAGGGCGCGUAGGCGGAUAGAUAAGUCAGGUGUGAAAUCCCUUGGCUUAACCAAGGAACUGCGCUUGAAACUGUCUGUCUUGAGUACGGGAGAGGGAAGCGGAAUUCCGGGUGUAGAGGUGAAAUUCGUAGAUAUCCGGAGGAACAUCGGUGGCGAAGGCGGCUUCCUGGACCGAUACUGACGCUGAGGCGCGAAAGCGUGGGUAGCAAACAGG